This 377-nucleotide ribosomal RNA is filed under the name uncultured eukaryote. Its description in RNAcentral is "partial 18S ribosomal RNA". It matches the Rfam family "Eukaryotic small subunit ribosomal RNA", at positions 592 to 976 of the family's 1831-position model. The record is from RNAcentral.
CAAUAGCGUAUAUUUAAGUUGCUGCAGUUAAAAAGCUCGUAGUUGGAUUUAGGGUGGGAAUGGCCGGUCCGCCGUUUCGGUGUGCACUUGCUACGCCCACCUUGCUGCCGGGGACGUGCUCUUGAGUUCACGCUCGGGACACGGAGUCGGCGAGGUUACUUUGAGUAAAUUAGAGUGUUCAAAGCAGGCCUACGCUCUGAAUACAUUAGCAUGGAAUAACACGAUAGGACUCUGGCCUAUCUUGUUGGUCUGUAGGACCGGAGUAAUGAUUAAGAGGGACAGUCGGGGGCAUUCGUAUUUCAUUGUCAGAGGUGAAAUUCUUGGAUUUAUGAAAGACGAACUACUGCGAAAGCAUUUGCCAAGGAUGUUUUCAUUAA